CACGUAGGCGGAUUUGUAAGUCAGGGGUGAAAUUCCGGGGCUCAACCUCGGAACUGCCUUUGAUACUGCAAAUCUCGAGUCCGGAAGAGGUGAGUGGAAUUCCUAGUGUAGAGGUGAAAUUCGUAGAUAUUAGGAAGAACACCAGUGGCGAAGGCGGCUCACUGGUCCGGCACUGACGCUGAGGUGCGAAAGCGUGGGAGCAAACA
RNAcentral lists this ribosomal RNA (206 nucleotides) under uncultured bacterium. RNAcentral's name for it is "partial 16S ribosomal RNA". It matches the Rfam family "Bacterial small subunit ribosomal RNA", at positions 568 to 774 of the family's 1533-position model. The record is from RNAcentral.